ACCACGUGGAGGAAAAGCACGCGAGUUUGGAGCGGGUGGAGCAGGAACAGAGGUGGACUGGAAUGUCACACGACGGGGCAGCUGGAAGGGCACCACUGAGUUCAGUACUUCAAAAUUGCCGUGCUCUACCUCUCCCCAGUGCACAAAAACACUCUCCACACCAAGCUGCUGCUGCUGGGGGAUGGAGGGAUGGCGUCAGCGAUUCAAGACUGUUUUUCCUACCUGUUCAGCACUUCUUUCAGCGAUAUGAAGUUAAAUCCAGAUGUCGUCAUCAUCCACUUGUUCAAACAAGAGCCCAAGGAUCAUCCUAGAUUCCUUCUCACUUCCUCUCAAUCCAUCCCUGAAACAGCCAAACCACCAGCCAAGUUCCCACCUGGUGGGAAGCACUGUGCAGGUUCGUGGGGAUGCAGCCCUGCACAGCCCAGACUGGACUCCUUCCCCAUGGAACUCACAACACACGGGAGAGGCAGAGAGAUCCAAGCGCACAGAAAAACACAAGAAGAUUCAGCCCUGUCAUCUUGUGCAAAUCCUCACUGUCCCCAGAAGGAAGAGAGGCACACAGCGCUCCCCAGCCGCUGGAAUCCAGGAAGAAUUGAGGUGCUCAAGACCCACCACCUCUUUGCCUGCAAACUCUAAGCUCACUGUCCUGCUCCCUUGCUCCCAGAAGUGGCACUGGAUGGAUCCCAUCCAGAUCUGACAACUCACUGGAAAGUUCUUCUCUGUGUCCCUGUCCCCCGUCUGGUUCUGAGGCCGCUGCUUUCCCCAGCCUUGGUGCCUUGGGUUUUCUGCUCUGUGAAAUGAACCAGGUCCCUUAUCCUGUUCUCCCCUGAAGAAAAGAGGGUGUGGGGGGCUUGGCACAGGAAAUGGCCCUUGCCUUUCACAGGCUUUGGGGUCUGAGGGCAGCUCUGAUGCCCCAGCAUGCUUUUCCAACCCAACAACUGGGGAGACCCGCUUGCCAUUUUACCACCCAGUAUCUGAAAUUAGCAGCCGCCUAAUCUCUCUCUGCCAUAUCACUCAAUGGUUUAAUUGUGCAGAAAAAAAUGUAUUAAAAUGCAAAGCACUCAGUUGU
This 1069-nucleotide long non-coding RNA is filed under the name Homo sapiens (human). RNAcentral's name for it is "long non-coding RNA NONHSAT159753.1". Lineage: Eukaryota; Metazoa; Chordata; Mammalia; Primates; Hominidae. The record is from RNAcentral.